Long non-coding RNA from Nannospalax galili (Upper Galilee mountains blind mole rat), 773 nucleotides. RefSeq lists it as uncharacterized. NCBI's taxonomy places the organism in Eukaryota, Metazoa, Chordata, Mammalia, Rodentia, Spalacidae. The transcript is spliced from 4 exons. The record is from RefSeq and is a predicted model, not a curated record.
GCAUCCGCUCUGGUUAUUAGUUACAGGAAAGGCAGCUGUGCCGGGUGAUGCUGGUUGGAGUCAAAAAGCAGGCAGAGCUCAGCCAAGUGGACACCAGCACAAUGGCUCACUUCCCCUGUGUGCAGCAAAACGAGAGGUCUGUUGACGGAUGCACAUGUGCGUGAAUGCAAGGUCUCCCUCUUUGCAGCAAGGCAGCAGAAUGGGAGUCUCUGAGAAGCAGUGGGAUUUCUUCUGGCGUUGGAGUUUGAGAACCACUGGCUUAGAGCUCAGGAUCAAAAGCUGGACAACAAAAUAGCCAUUAACAUGAGAGAAGGACUGGACCAGCUUUCUCUGGGCACUAGAAGGUGGUACCCAGAUCUGCCCCAGACUUAUGAUGGACUUCUCACUGUCUUCCUGGACACAGAAUAUCCCCAGCAUCAACAGGCCUUUCUUUCUGUUGCCCAAGUCAAACAUCUUUCUAACCUUGCACUCAAAAGCUUAAUUACACCUAUUCUUUGGUUUUCCCUCUAAAUCCAGAGACAAAAAAAUAUUAUUUGUAGAUAACAAGAAUGCCUAGCCUGGAGUCGACAAAAUGCAAUCAACAGAAAACUGUAUGAACUAAAGAGUUUCAUUGAAAAUACUUUAACAGCGUCUAGCCUCCUUUAAGCGGCAUCCUUAGUGGCUUCAUGUGCUACACAUUCAUGGAACCUGUACCUGCGUCCUCCCUGCCACAUCCCUUAUUGAAAAGGAACACAUCCUUUCUGAGCCAGAAGAAAAAGAUAUCCCAGAAGAAA